CGGACGGGUGAGUAACACGUGGAUAACCUACCUAUAAGACUGGGAUAACUUUGGGAAACCGGAGCUAAUACCGGAUAAUAUAUUGAACCGCAUGGUUCAAUAGUGAAAGACGGUUUUGCUGUCACUUAUAGAUGGAUCCGCGCCGCAUUAGCUAGUUGGUAAGGUAACGGCUUACCAAGGCGACGAUGCGUAGCCGACCUGAGAGGGUGAUCGGCCACACUGGAACUGAGACACGGUCCAG
Molecule: ribosomal RNA, 241 nt
Filed under: uncultured Staphylococcus sp.
Lineage: Bacteria; Bacillati; Bacillota; Bacilli; Caryophanales; Staphylococcaceae
Description: partial 16S ribosomal RNA
Rfam family: Bacterial small subunit ribosomal RNA
Source: RNAcentral